Molecule: ribosomal RNA, 700 nt
Filed under: Acinetobacter sp.
Lineage: Bacteria; Pseudomonadati; Pseudomonadota; Gammaproteobacteria; Moraxellales; Moraxellaceae
Description: bacterial SSU rRNA
Rfam family: Bacterial small subunit ribosomal RNA
Source: RNAcentral
AGUAAUGCUUAGGAAUCUGCCUAUUAGUGGGGGACAACGUUCCGAAAGGAGCGCUAAUACCGCAUACGUCCUACGGGAGAAAGCAGGGGACCUUCGGGCCUUGCGCUAAUAGAUGAGCCUAAGUCGGAUUAGCUAGUUGGUAGGGUAAAGGCCUACCAAGGCGACGAUCUGUAGCGGGUCUGAGAGGAUGAUCCGCCACACUGGGACUGAGACACGGCCCAGACUCCUACGGGAGGCAGCAGUGGGGAAUAUUGGACAAUGGGGGGAACCCUGAUCCAGCCAUGCCGCGUGUGUGAAGAAGGCCUUUUGGUUGUAAAGCACUUUAAGCGAGGAGGAGGCUACCUAGAUUAAUACUUUAGGAUAGUGGACGUUACUCGCAGAAUAAGCACCGGCUAACUCUGUGCCAGCAGCCGCGGUAAUACAGAGGGUGCGAGCGUUAAUCGGAUUUACUGGGCGUAAAGCGUGCGUAGGCGGCCAAUUAAGUCAAAUGUGAAAUCCCCGAGCUUAACUUGGGAAUUGCAUUCGAUACUGGUUGGCUAGAGUAUGGGAGAGGAUGGUAGAAUUCCAGGUGUAGCGGUGAAAUGCGUAGAGAUCUGGAGGAAUACCGAUGGCGAAGGCAGCCAUCUGGCCUAAUACUGACGCUGAGGUACGAAAGCAUGGGGAGCAAACAGGAUUAGAUACCCUGGUAGUCCAUGCCGUA